GAAUGUGAAAAGCAGCACAGGAAAGAGUGGGGGAGAGCAAAAUAGGAAUAGAGAGAUCCUGUUGGUCUGGGUUCUACUGGCUGUAGGUCUUGAACUGCUGCUGAUUCUGGUCAGCAUUAUAAUCUGUGUGUUGAGAAAAAAGUUCAAAAAAGGUCAGAUGGAGACCAGAGAGAGGCGCAAUAACACUGCAGUUCAGACGGUUAGUAUUGUGGUUAAUGGGAGGCAUCAUGCAGUCUGGUUAAGUAUUGCUUUCAGUGUUGCUUGGUGUUUGGAGACAGAAGUU
Colossoma macropomum (tambaqui) is the source of this 283-nucleotide long non-coding RNA. RefSeq lists it as uncharacterized. Lineage: Eukaryota; Metazoa; Chordata; Actinopteri; Characiformes; Serrasalmidae. The transcript is spliced from 3 exons. The record is from RefSeq and is a predicted model, not a curated record.